UACGGGGGGGGCAAGCGUUGUUCGGAAUUACUGGGCGUAAAGGGCUCGUAGGUGGCCAACUAAGUCAGACGUGAAAUCCCUCGGCUUAACCGGGGAACUGCGUCUGAUACUGGAUGGCUUGAGUUUGGGAGAGGGACGCGGAAUUCCAGGUGUAGCGGUGAAAUGCGUAGAUAUUGGGAGGAACACCAGUGGCGAAGGCGGCUCACUGGACCGGUUCUGACGCUGAGGCGCGAAAGCGUGGGGAGCAAACGGG
Molecule: ribosomal RNA, 253 nt
Filed under: uncultured bacterium
Lineage: Bacteria
Description: partial 16S ribosomal RNA
Rfam family: Bacterial small subunit ribosomal RNA
Source: RNAcentral